This 349-nucleotide ribosomal RNA is filed under the name Thelephoraceae sp. 'Taylor #12'. RNAcentral describes it as "LSU rRNA". It matches the Rfam family "Bacterial large subunit ribosomal RNA", at positions 1731 to 2086 of the family's 2925-position model. Lineage: Eukaryota; Fungi; Basidiomycota; Agaricomycetes; Thelephorales; Thelephoraceae. The record is from RNAcentral.
UAAGUUUGACAAUAAGAGGAACCACUUAAAUAAAAUUAUGGUGGUGUCACAAAAUCGGAGGCCACGACUGUUUACUAAAAACACAAUUCAGAGCAAUGAUGAAAAUCAUAGUAUUCUGGAUGAAAUUUGCCCGAUGCCAUUAACAUAAAAGAGGUAAUGGGAAACUGUUACUAAUUGAAAGUCUGGUUAAUAGCGGUCUUAACUAUGAGGAUCCUAAGGUAGCAAAAUCAAUUGGCCAUUAAAUGUGGUCUGGUAUCAAUAGUGUAACGAUGGUCUCACUGUCUCUACAACUUGCUCAGUGAAAUUGAAUUAUCCGUGCAGAUGCGGAUUGCCUCCAGGUGGACGGGAA